This 699-nucleotide long non-coding RNA is filed under the name Homo sapiens (human). Its description in RNAcentral is "long independently transcribed non-coding RNA 2369 (LINC02369)". Lineage: Eukaryota; Metazoa; Chordata; Mammalia; Primates; Hominidae. The record is from RNAcentral.
AUCUCCAACAUAAGAAGGCAGGACUUGCUUCUGUGAGGUACUGAGCCACCCGUCCCUGGAGGAAAGCAAGAACAGAGCAGAUCAGAGCCCAGGCAGACAUCUUGGAUGAUGGGGUACAUCUUGCCAUCCAGAGGCAAUGCUGGAGCGGGCAGUUGUCUGCGGGGAGGCCCUGGCUCACUCUGGGCCAAAUAACAGGACUGAUUGCAGCCUGCGAUGAAACAUCCUGUUUCUCCCAACCAGAAACAGGUAGAGGAGCUGCUUUAGGAUGGAAGAUGAGGCUUGCUUUUUCUUUCUCCUAGAAGUCAGCAUUUUACAUGAUUCUGGGAGGGAAGAAAGGAGACAGGAACCAAGGAGCCUGAGUGGGGAUUUGCCCACCACUGGGCAGCCAGGCUCCCGUCAGGAAGGCUUUUCAGAGGGAGUGUUGGAAGGAGUCGUCGAGGAGUCUUCCUCACCCAGGAAGUCUUCCUCACCGGGUGAGCCCCAACCUGCUGGACCUGCUCAGAAUUUGCCCAACAGGGGAUCCUGGUUGACUGAGGUCUGCUAAUUCCAACUGGCCUACGCUAAAUUCUCCCAGAAUGUCUUCAUCAUCAAUGAAUCGCUUUCCACUGACACGACGCCUGGAAGAACAUAAACACUGUGAGGAUAAAUGCCAAUGAAAUAAUAAUAAAAUAAACUUUCUUUGGUGGCCAGAGGGAAAAA